UCAUCUUCGGGGGUAGAGCACUGUUUCGGCUAGGGGGUCAUCCCGACUUACCAACCCGAUGCAAACUACGAAUACCGAAGAAUGUUAUCACGGGAGACACACGGCGGGUGCUAACGUCCGUCGUGAAGAGGGAAACAACCCAGACCGCCAGCUAAGGUCCCAAAGUCAUGGUUAAGUGGGAAACGAUGUGGGAAGGCACAGACAGCCAGGAUGUUGGCUUAGAAGCAGCCAUCAUUUAAAGAAAGCGUAAUAGCUCACUGGUCGAGUCGGCCUGCGCGGAAGAUGUAACGGGGCUAAACCAUGCACCGAAGCUGCGGCAGCGACACUAUGUGUUGUUGGGUAGGGGAGCGUUCUGUAAGCCUGCGAAGGUGGCCUGUGAGGGCUGCUGGAGGUAUCAGAAGUGCGAAUGCUGACAUAAGUAACGAUAAAGCGGGUGAAAAGCCCGCUCGCCGGAAGACCAAGGGUUCCUGUCCAACGUUAAUCGGGGCAGGGUGAGUCGACCCCUAAGGCGAGGCCGAAAGGCGUAGUCGAUGGGAAACAGGUUAAUAUUCCUGUACUUGGUGUUACUGCGAAGGGGGGACGGAGAAGGCUAUGUUAGCCGGGCGACGGUUGUCCCGGUUUAAGCAUGUAGGCGGAGGUUCCAGGUAAAUCCGGUACCUUUUAACGCUGAGGUGUGAUGACGAGGCACUACGGUGCUGAAGUAACAAAUGCCCUGCUUCCAGGAAAAGCCUCUAAGCAUCAGGUAACAUUAAAUCGUACCCCAAACCGACACAGGUGGUCAGGUAGAGAAUACCAAGGCGCUUGAGAGAACUCGGGUGAAGGAACUAGGCAAAAUGGUGCCGUAACUUCGGGAGAAGGCACGCUGGUGUGUAGGUGAAGUCCCUGCGGAUGGAGCUGAGACCAGUCGAAGAUACCAGCUGGCUGCAACUGUUUAUUAAAAACACAGCACUGUGCAAACACGAAAGUGGACGUAUACGGUGUGACGCCUGCCCGGUGCCGGAAGGUUAAUUGAUGGGGUUAUCCGUAAGGAGAAGCUCUUGAUCGAAGCCCCGGUAAACGGCGGCCGUAACUAUAACGGUCCUAAGGUAGCGAAAUUCCUUGUCGGGUAAGUUCCGACCUGCACGAAUGGCGUAAUGAUGGCCAGGCUGUCUCCACCCGAGACUCAGUGAAAUUGAACUCGCUGUGAAGAUGCAGUGUACCCGCGGCAAGACGGAAAGACCCCGUGAACCUUUACUAUAGCUUGACACUGAACAUUGAGCCUUGAUGUGUAGGAUAGGUGGGAGGCUUUGAAGCGUGGACGCCAGUCUGCGUGGAGCCAACCUUGAAAUACCACCCUUUAAUGUUUGAUGUUCUAACGUUGGCCCGUAAUCCGGGUUGCGGACAGUGUCUGGUGGGUAGUUUGACUGGGGCGGUCUCCUCCCAAAGAGUAACGGAGGAGCACGAAGGUUAGCUAAUCCUGGUCGGACAUCAGGAGGUUAGUGCAAUGGCAUAAGCUAGCUUGACUGCGAGCGUGACGGCGCGAGCAGGUGCGAAAGCAGGUCAUAGUGAUCCGGUGGUUCUGAAUGGAAGGGCCAUCGCUCAACGGAUAAAAGGUACUCCGGGGAUAACAGGCUGAUACCGCCCAAGAGUUCAUAUCGACGGCGGUGUUUGGCACCUCGAUGUCGGCUCAUCACAUCCUGGGGCUGAAGUAGGUCCCAAGGGUAUGGCUGUUCGCCAUUUAAAGUGGUACGCGAGCUGGGUUUAGAACGUCGUGAGACAGUUCGGUCCCUAUCUGCCGUGGGCGCUGGAGAAUUGAGGGGGGCUGCUCCUAGUACGAGAGGACCGGAGUGGACGCAUCACUGGUGUUCGGGUUGUCAUGCCAAUGGCACUGCCCGGUAGCUAAAUGCGGAAGAGAUAAGUGCUGAAAGCAUCUAAGCACGAAACUUGCCCCGAGAUGAGUUCUCCCUGAGACUUUAAGUCUCCUGAAGGAACGUUGAAGACGACGACGUUGAUAGGCCGGGUGUGUAAGCGCAGCGAUGCGUUGAGCUAACCGGUACUAAUGAACCGUGAGGCUUAACCUU
This 2060-nucleotide ribosomal RNA is filed under the name Klebsiella variicola. RNAcentral describes it as "partial 23S ribosomal RNA". It matches the Rfam family "Bacterial large subunit ribosomal RNA", at positions 890 to 2925 of the family's 2925-position model. The record is from RNAcentral. RNAcentral also lists the same sequence under 1 other name. Lineage: Bacteria; Pseudomonadati; Pseudomonadota; Gammaproteobacteria; Enterobacterales; Enterobacteriaceae.